This 23-nucleotide microRNA is filed under the name Brachionus plicatilis. RNAcentral describes it as "Bpl-Mir-277_3p (mature (guide))". The record is from RNAcentral. RNAcentral also lists the same sequence under 1 other name. Lineage: Eukaryota; Metazoa; Rotifera; Eurotatoria; Ploima; Brachionidae.
UAAAUGCAUUAGUCUGGCAUGGC